UUUUUUUUCAAUUCCCCUUUUCAAUAAAAUUGAAGAUCUAAAAUCAUAAAAGCCAAAUUUUGGUAAAAUUGCCCACUGGCAACUCUCCAGCGAGUGAAUGUUUACACAAGCUAGAGGGUCAUAAUUUUAUUAAUCAAAACAAAUUAUAACCUGUCCAGUGGAAGAAACAUGGAUAAUGUAAACAGAAAGAUAUAGAUGUCAAAAAAAAAAAAGAAAAGAAAAGACCAAAAGGUUUUUUUUUUUUUUCUUUUUAUUUUGUAAUGAUCCUUCCGCAGGUUCACCUACGGAAA
Molecule: unclassified non-coding RNA, 290 nt
Filed under: uncultured fungus
Lineage: Eukaryota; Fungi
Description: sequence contains ITS1
Source: RNAcentral